Long non-coding RNA from Erinaceus europaeus (western European hedgehog), 459 nucleotides. RefSeq lists it as uncharacterized. NCBI's taxonomy places the organism in Eukaryota, Metazoa, Chordata, Mammalia, Eulipotyphla, Erinaceidae. The transcript has 4 exons. The record is from RefSeq and is a predicted model, not a curated record.
CCAGGAUGCUGAGACCAUGACUUUGACUAGAAUCCAACAAUUUCCAAUAUAUUUCGAUUAUUUAUUGAGACUGAAGACUGGCCAGCCAUGAAGAUGCCAAUGUACUUUUCCAAAGAACUUGAACAAAAGAUUUGUCAUGACAUUUUGAAGAAGAUAAUUCCAUUUGGGUAACAGAAGUGUCAAGGAGCUGUGGCAGAGAUAUUCCAGGCCCUGGAAAGUUCAAGUCAAGGCCCACUAGGAGAGAUUUACUGACACCACCAUUUUAGGUAUGAGGAUAUAACUGGAUUAUAAUAGGGAACAUGUUCACUUUGGAAUAGUAAUAAGCCCAUAAAUAAACAAACAGCAACGUUGUAUGUGGUUUAAAAAGAGUAAUAAUAAUAAUAAUAAUAAUAAAGGUUGGGCAGUAUUGCACUGUGUUAACACACAUAGUAAGAAGCACAAAGAUCCUGGUUCAAGCCC